RNAcentral lists this ribosomal RNA (303 nucleotides) under uncultured eukaryote. RNAcentral's name for it is "partial 18S ribosomal RNA". It matches the Rfam family "Eukaryotic small subunit ribosomal RNA", at positions 1470 to 1796 of the family's 1831-position model. The record is from RNAcentral.
CCCUUAGAUGUUCUGGGCCGCACGCGCGCUACACUGAUGCAUUCAACGAGUCUACAACCUGGUCUGCUAGGGCUGGGUAAUCUUUUGAAUGUGCAUCGUGAUUGGGAUAGAUGAUUGCAAUUCUUCAUCUUCAACGAGGAAUCCCUUGUAAACAUGCUCAAGAAUAGCGUGUUGAAUACGUCCCUGCCGUUUGUACACACCGCCCGUCGUUUCUUCCGACUGAUACUCAUUGUGAGUUGCAAGGACCCUUUAUUGGGAAAUUGCUGCAAAUGCUUUGUAUUGGAGGAAGAAAAAGGCGGAACA